AGUCCCGGGGUGUAGCGCAUACAUAUUGAAGUGCAAAUUCAGAGAGACACCCCAGCGAGGUGUCGGGGCUU
RNAcentral lists this transfer RNA (71 nucleotides) under Geckolepis petiti. RNAcentral's name for it is "tRNA-Cys". Lineage: Eukaryota; Metazoa; Chordata; Lepidosauria; Squamata; Gekkonidae. The record is from RNAcentral.